CACGGGGGUUGCGAGCGUUGUCCGGAAUUAUUGGGCGUAAAGAGCUUGUAGGCGGUUUGUCGCGUCUGCUGUGAAAAUCCGGGGCUCAACCCCGGACUUGCAGUGGGUACGGGCAGACUAGAGUGUGGUAGGGGAGACUGGAAUUCCUGGUGUAGCGGUGAAAUGCGCAGAUAUCAGGAGGAACACCGAUGGCGAAGGCAGGUCUCUGGGCCACUACUGACGCUGAGAAGCGAAAGCAUGGGGAGCGAACAGGAUUAGAUACCCCGGUAGU
This 271-nucleotide ribosomal RNA is filed under the name uncultured prokaryote. RNAcentral describes it as "partial 16S ribosomal RNA". It matches the Rfam family "Bacterial small subunit ribosomal RNA", at positions 524 to 794 of the family's 1533-position model. The record is from RNAcentral.